This 766-nucleotide ribosomal RNA is filed under the name uncultured Campylobacterota bacterium. Its description in RNAcentral is "bacterial SSU rRNA". It matches the Rfam family "Bacterial small subunit ribosomal RNA", at positions 585 to 1351 of the family's 1533-position model. The record is from RNAcentral. Lineage: Bacteria; Pseudomonadati; Campylobacterota.
AAGUUGGAUGUGAAAUCCUAUGGCUCAACCAUAGAACUGCAUCAAAACUGAGGGGCUAGAGUCUGGGAGGGGAAGAUGGAAUUAGUGGUGUACGGGUAAAAUCCGUAGAGAUCACUAGGAAUACCAAAAGCGAAGGCGAUCUUCUGGAACAGUACUGACGCUGAGGCGCGAAAGCGUGGGGAGCAAACAGCGAUUAGAUACCCUGGUAGUCCACGCCCUAAACUAUGAAUGUUAGUCGUCGGGAGGCUCGUCCUCUCGGUGAUGCAGCUAACGCAUUAAACAUUCCGCCUGGGGAGUACGGUCGCAAGAUUAAAACUCAAAGGAAUAGACGGGGACCCGCACAAGUGGUGGAGCAUGUGGUUUAAUUCGAAGAUACGCGAAGAACCUUACCUGGCCUUGACAUUGAUAGAAUCUGCUAGAGAUAGCGGAGUGCCCUUCGGGGAGCUUGAAAACAGGUGCUGCACGGCUGUCGUCAGCUCGUGUCGUGAGAUGUUGGGUUAAGUCCCGCAACGAGCGCAACCCUCGUCACUAGUUACUAACGGUUCGGCCGAGGACUCUAGUGAGACUGCCUUCGUAAGGAGGAGGAAGGUGAGGACGACGUCAAGUCAUCAUGGCCCUUACGGCCAGGGCGACACACGUGCUACAAUGGGAUGUACAAUGAGACGCAAUACCGCGAGGUGGAGCAAAUCUAUAAAGCAUCUCUCAGUUCGGAUUGUAGUCUGCAACUCGACUACAUGAAGCUGGAAUCACUAGUAAUCGUAGAUCA